UUGUUGGUAAGGUAAAGGCUUACCAAGGCUUCGAUCAGUAGCUGGUCUGAGAGGACGGCCAGCCACACUGGGACUGAGACACGGCCCAGACUCCUACGGGAGGCAGCAGUGGGGAAUUUUGGACAAUGGGGGAAACCCUGAUCCGCCAUGCCGCGUGAGUGAAGAAGGCCUUCGGGUUGUAAAGCUCUUUCAGCCGGAACGAAACGGUUACGGAUAAUACCCGUGACUACUGACGGUACCGGAAGAAGAAGCACCGGCUAACUACGUGCCAGCAGCCGCGGUAAUACGUAGGGUGCGAGCGUUAAUCGGAAUUACUGGGCGUAAAGCGUGCGCAGGUGGUUUUGUAAGUCAGAUGUGAAAGCCCCGGGCUCAACCUGGGAACUGCGUUUGAAACUACAAGACUAGAGUGUGGCAGAGGGGGGUGGAAUUCCGCGUGUAGCAGUGAAAUGCGUAGAGAUGUGGAGGAACACCGAUGGCGAAGGCAGCCCCCUGGGUUAACACUGACACUCAGGCACGAAAGCAUGGGGAGCAAACAGGAUUAGAUACCCUGGUAGUCCAUGCCCUAAACGAUGUCAACUAGUUGUCGGGCCUUUACGGGCUUGGUAACGUAGCUAACGCGUGAAGUUGACCGCCUGGGGAGUACGAUCGCAAGAUUAAAACUCAAAUGAAUUGACGGGGACCCGCACAAGCGGUGGAUUAUGUGGAUUAAUUCGAUGCAACGCGAAAAACCUUACCUACCCUUGACAUGUAUCGAAGCCCGCAGAAAAGCGGGGGUGCCCGAAAGGGAACGAUAACACAGGUGCUGCAUGGCUGUCGUCAGCUCGUGUCGUGAGAUGUUGGGUUAAGUCCCGCAACGAGCGCAACCCUUGUCAUUAAUUGCCAUCAUUUAGUUGGGCACUUUAAUGAGACUGCCGG
This 915-nucleotide ribosomal RNA is filed under the name uncultured bacterium. RNAcentral's name for it is "bacterial SSU rRNA". It matches the Rfam family "Bacterial small subunit ribosomal RNA", at positions 246 to 1155 of the family's 1533-position model. The record is from RNAcentral.